This 253-nucleotide ribosomal RNA is filed under the name uncultured bacterium. Its description in RNAcentral is "partial 16S ribosomal RNA". It matches the Rfam family "Bacterial small subunit ribosomal RNA", at positions 524 to 776 of the family's 1533-position model. The record is from RNAcentral.
GACAGAGGUGCCAAGCGUUAGGCGGAAUCACUGGGCUUAAAGCGUGUGUAGGCGGAUCGUUAAGUACCUUGUGAAAUCCCACGGCUCAACCGUGGAACUGCUGGGUAUACUGGCGAUCUUGAGCCACCUAGGGGCGAGCGGAACAAACGGUGGAGCGGUGAAAUGCGUAGAUAUCGUUUGGAACGCCAACGGUGAAAACAGCCCGCUGGGGGUGUGCUGACGCUGAGACACGAAAGCCAGGGGAGCGAACGGG